GACGAACGCUGGCGGCGUGCUUAACACAUGCAAGUCGAACGGAAAGGCCCUGCUUUUGUGGGGUGCUCGAGUGGCGAACGGGUGAGUAACACGUGAGUAACCUGCCCUUGACUUUGGGAUAACUUCAGGAAACUGGGGCUAAUACCGGAUAGGAGCUCCUGCUGCAUGGUGGGGGUUGGAAAGUUUCGGCGGUUGGGGAUGGACUCGCGGCUUAUCAGCUUGUUGGUGGGGUAGUGGCUUACCAAGGCUUUGACGGGUAGCCGGCCUGAGAGGGUGACCGGCAACAUUGGGACUGAGAUACGGACCAGACUCCUACGGGAGGCAGCAGUGGGGAAUAUUGCACACUGGGCGGAAGCCUGCUGCAGCCACGCCGCGUGCGGGAUGACGGCCUUCGGGUUGUAAACCGCUUUCGCCUGUGACGAAGCGUGAGUGACGGUAAUGGGUAAAGAAGCACCGGCUAACUACGUG
This 468-nucleotide ribosomal RNA is filed under the name uncultured bacterium. Its description in RNAcentral is "partial 16S ribosomal RNA". It matches the Rfam family "Bacterial small subunit ribosomal RNA", at positions 28 to 507 of the family's 1533-position model. The record is from RNAcentral.